RNAcentral lists this ribosomal RNA (436 nucleotides) under Wanniyala sp. SL61. Its description in RNAcentral is "partial 16S ribosomal RNA". The record is from RNAcentral. Lineage: Eukaryota; Metazoa; Arthropoda; Arachnida; Araneae; Pholcidae.
UUCUUUAAGAUUUAUAAUUUAAAGUAAAACCUGCUCAAUGGUAUAAUUCUAAAUGGCCGCAGUAAAUCUGUGCUAAGGUAGCAUAAUAACUUGCUUUUUAAUUAAAAGAUAGAAUGAAAGGUUAAACGAUAAAUAUUUGUUUCUUAAUUAAUAAUUAAUUUGUUGUUCAAGUAAAAACACUUAAAUAAAAAGACCAGACGACAAGACCCUAAUAAACUUUAAUUCAUUUAGUUGGGGUGACAAAAUAAUUAAUCCUUAUAAAAAUUUCUCAACAAAUCUUUUAAUAAAAAUAAAGACUAGUUACUAUAGGGAUAACAGCGUAAUAUUUUUCAAGAGUUCCUAUCAAAAAAAAAGUUUACGACCUCGAUGUUGAAUUAUUUUCCUAAUUUUUAACGCAAAAGUUAAUUAAGGUAGUCUGUUCGACUAUWAAAUUUUU